Non-coding RNA from Camelina sativa (false flax), 227 nucleotides. Lineage: Eukaryota; Viridiplantae; Streptophyta; Magnoliopsida; Brassicales; Brassicaceae. The record is from RefSeq and is a predicted model, not a curated record.
GCUGAUGAUGAUAUGAAGGAAAUGACACAUAUGGACCAGGAUGAGGAAAAUUUGGAGGAUGACUGGAACUUGAUACAGGAGCAUUUGGAUAAUAUAUAUAGCACACAUAACGAGUUAUUUGGUUUCUGUGAUCUUUCUGAAAAGUCUGGAAGAUUAUGUAUUACUGACAGUAGAAGGCUGGAUUCAUUUACUGAUUCCUAUGAACUUGGAGUCCACAUGAUCAAAGG